GAUGAACGCUGGCGGCGUGCCUAAUACAUGCAAGUCGAGCGAACAGACGAGGAGCUUGCUCCUCUGACGUUAGCGGCGGACGGGUGAGUAACACGUGGAUAACCUACCUAUAAGACUGGGAUAACUUCGGGAAACCGGAGCUAAUACCGGAUAAUAUAUUGAACCGCAUGGUUCAAUAGUGAAAGACGGUUUUGCUGUCACUUAUAGAUGGAUCCGCGCCGCAUUAGCUAGUUGGUAAGGUAACGGCUUACCAAGGCAACGAUGCGUAGCCGACCUGAGAGGGUGAUCGGCCAAACUGGAACUGAGAAACGGUCCAGACUCCUACGGGAGGCAGCAGUAGGGAAUCUUCCGCAAUGGGCGAAAGCCUGACGGAGCAACGCCGCGUGAGUGAUGAAGGUCUUCGGAUCGUAAAACUCUGUUAUUAGGGAAGAACAAAUGUGUAAGUAACUAUGCACGUCUUGACGGUACCUAAUCAGAAAGCCACGGCUAACUACGUG
RNAcentral lists this ribosomal RNA (497 nucleotides) under uncultured bacterium. RNAcentral's name for it is "partial 16S ribosomal RNA". It matches the Rfam family "Bacterial small subunit ribosomal RNA", at positions 28 to 507 of the family's 1533-position model. The record is from RNAcentral.